AUGCGCAUAUCUUUGCCUUGGGACGUCGAUGUCUAUGCUACAAUGGGACGUCAUCGUACCAGUGAGGCCGAGGAGAUCCCUAGCGAGAUGCUACAGGAAAUCCUGAUGAAGCUGCCGACCAAGGACGUGGCCCGGUGCUGCCGCGUCUCCCGGCAGUGGCGCAGCGCCGUGAGAGACCCCUCCUUCCGCAAGCUCCACGCAGCGAGCCAUGCCGCGCUCUCGGCAGAGUCCGAGCUCUUGCGCGUAUCCAACAUAGGCGAGGUCGGCCAUAUCGGCUCGAGCGAAAGGACCGGCGUCUUCAGCGUAUCUUCAGGCAAGGCCAUGUGCUCCGUCACCAUCCCCCACGGCUACGGCCUCGCCAACAUCUGCAACGGCCUCCUCUGCUUCGUUGACAGGGACCACAACGCCCAGGCGCCGGCGGUGGUGUGCAACCCCGCUAGCGGGGAGACGCUGGCUCUUCCCGAGGCCCCUCCGCUCAGCAACGAGGACGAUGAUUAUCUCUUCGCCUUGGGGUUCAGCCCGCCCACCGACGAGUACAAGCUGUUCCGCCUCUCUUUCCCGCCAUACUCAUACUCCUCCGAAGAACGGGUGGACAUGGACGUCUACACCUUGGGUGAUGCCCGCGGAUGGCGCAAAGACUCGUUCCUCUCACCCUCUCGCCCAGCCACAAAAGAUUACACUUUGGCGCCAGUGCUGAUCGAUGGUAAACUUCACGUGGUCACUAGAGGCUGGAAUCAAUUCGCAAGACAUGAGGCUGCCGGAGGAGUGCUGGUAUUGGACGUGCCUGCCGAGACGAGCCGCACUUAUCCUCUCCCGGAUAAUCUCGGGACCUAUCCAUAUGAUAAUCCGCUGGCCUUUGAGCUGAAGGGGCGGCUGUGCUUGGCCGCACACGUGCUCAGCGGUGGUCGCCCCAAGGCCCUCCGCUUCUGGGUCAUGGACAACAAGGAAACGGACGAUGAGAAGGAACCACACUGGGAUUUGCGCUACAGCUUCUUCGUGGAAGCGGAACAUUCCUUCGACAUCUCAAGGCCGUGGAGUGCAUGGUUUGAACAUGAGACGCUCUGCUACACCCGCAGCAACACCUUGCACAAGUAUGACACGAGGUUGUCCAUUCCUGACCACAGUCAACUGCUAAAGUGGAACAAGCAGCUCCAGCAAACUACAGUAUCACGCAAAUGGCGAUGGGUCAUCCAUCAGGGUUACCGUCCCACUCUGCUCUCGCCUCACGUCUUUGAAUUGUCGUCGUCGUCACAAGACGAGACAAUGAUGGACAUAUGCUCCUAA
RNAcentral lists this ribosomal RNA (1284 nucleotides) under Triticum aestivum (bread wheat). Its description in RNAcentral is "partial small subunit ribosomal RNA". The record is from RNAcentral. Lineage: Eukaryota; Viridiplantae; Streptophyta; Magnoliopsida; Poales; Poaceae.